RNAcentral lists this ribosomal RNA (303 nucleotides) under Triticum aestivum (bread wheat). RNAcentral describes it as "partial small subunit ribosomal RNA". The record is from RNAcentral. Lineage: Eukaryota; Viridiplantae; Streptophyta; Magnoliopsida; Poales; Poaceae.
AUGGUGCCUCUGUUCAGACUGCUGAUGGACCGUCAGAGCAAGAGGGUCAUUGGAACUGGCCAUCGCCGUAGAGGAUCCACAUCCCUCUACAUCCUUGACACCUUACACCUUCCUUCAGCUUCCACCACAUCCGCGUUCCGGAUGGUUGCAUCAACAUCGAGAUCCACUUCGUCGUUUUCUUUUGCCCAGUGGCACCAUCGCUUAGGUCACUUGUGUGGUUCUCAUUUAUCUACCCUUGUUCGGCAAGGUGUUUUGGGUCAUGUUUCCAUGAUGCUGGUUUUCACUGUAAGGGUUGUAAGCUAG